Molecule: ribosomal RNA, 440 nt
Filed under: uncultured bacterium
Lineage: Bacteria
Description: partial 16S ribosomal RNA
Rfam family: Bacterial small subunit ribosomal RNA
Source: RNAcentral
CUACGGGGUGCACCAGUGAGGAAUAUUGCACAAUGGGGGGAACCCUGAUGCAGCAACGCCGCGUGGAGGAUGACGCAUUUCGGUGUGUAAACUCCUUUUAUAUGUCAAGAAAAUGACGGUAGCAUAUGAAUAAGCACCGGCUAACUCCGUGCCAGCAGCCGCGGUAAUACGGGAGGGUGCAAGCGUUACUCGGAAUCACUGGGCGUAAAGGACGCGUAGGCGGGUUGGAAAGUCAGGUGUGAAAUCCUACAGCUUAACUGUAGAACUGCACUUGAAACUUCUAAUCUAGAGUAUGGGAGGGGGAGAUGGAAUUAGUGGUGUAGGGGUAAAAUCCGUAGAUAUCACUAGGAAUACCUAAAGCGAAGGCGAUCUCCUGGAACAUUACUGACGCUAAGGCGUGAAAGCGUGGGGAGCAAACAGGAUUAGAUACCCGUGUAGUC